Molecule: ribosomal RNA, 439 nt
Filed under: uncultured prokaryote
Description: bacterial SSU rRNA
Rfam family: Bacterial small subunit ribosomal RNA
Source: RNAcentral
CUACGGGAGGCAGCCGUUAAGAAUCUUGCACAAUGGGGGCAACCCUGAUGCAGCGACGCCGCGUGCAUGAUGAAGGCCUUCGGGUUGUAAAGUUCGGUAAGCAGGGAAGAAUAAGCAACGGGUAAUAUUCGUUGUGAUGACGGUACCUGCCUAAAGCCCCGGCUAACUACGUGCCAGCAGCCGCGGUAAUACGUAUGGGGCAAGCGUUGUUCGGAAUUAUUGGGCGUAAAGGGCGUCUAGGCGGGGGAUUAAGUUAGAUGUGAAAGCCAUGGGCUCAACUCGUGAAUUGCAUCUAAGACUGGUUCUCUUGAGUUCGGGAGAGGAGAGCGGAAUUCCAGGUGUAGCGGUGAAAUGCGUAGAUAUCUGGAAGAACACCAGUGGCGAAGGCGGCUCUCUGGCCUAGGACUGACGCUGAAGCGCGAAAGCGUGGGAGCGAACA